This 41-nucleotide small nuclear RNA is filed under the name Cervus elaphus hippelaphus. The record is from RNAcentral. Lineage: Eukaryota; Metazoa; Chordata; Mammalia; Artiodactyla; Cervidae.
GUGCUCGCUUCGGCAGCACAUAUACUAAAAUUGAAAAUACA